This is a long non-coding RNA of Biomphalaria glabrata, 141 nucleotides long. RefSeq lists it as uncharacterized. The transcript has 2 exons. The record is from RefSeq and is a predicted model, not a curated record. NCBI's taxonomy places the organism in Eukaryota, Metazoa, Mollusca, Gastropoda, Planorbidae.
UCGACCGGCAUCUCCCAUCGCUGUAAUGUCCGUACGUUACUGGACCUAAGUCGUCUCCACUCCCUUUUGUGCUUGGUUCUACACCAUGUGUUCACGUAUGGCUGCAGGUCUUUAAUGUAUAAUAAACAGUUUUGAAUCGCC